This 407-nucleotide ribosomal RNA is filed under the name uncultured bacterium. RNAcentral describes it as "partial 16S ribosomal RNA". It matches the Rfam family "Bacterial small subunit ribosomal RNA", at positions 35 to 526 of the family's 1533-position model. The record is from RNAcentral.
AUUGACAGCUGGCGCCAGGUCUAACACAUGCAAGUCGAGCGGAGCGGCGGAUGGGUGAGUAAUGCCUAGGAAUCUGCUUGGUAGUGGGGGAUAACGUUCGGAAACGGGCGCUAAUAUCGCACACUAUCAGAUGAGCCUAGGUUGGAUCAGCUAGCUGGUGUGCUCAAGGCCUACCAAGGCGACGAUCCGUAACUGGGCUGAGAGGAUGAUCAGUCAGACUGGUCCUGGGACACGGUCGCGACUCCUACGACAGGCAACAUUAGGGAAUAUUGGCCAAUAGGCUGAAGCCUAAUCCAGCCAUCCCGCGUGUGUGACGAAAGUCUUCGGAUUGUAAAGCAGUUUAACUUGGAGGGCGUUACCUACCGAAUUAGCACCAGCUAACUCCGUGCCAGCAGCCGCGGUAAUUC